Molecule: non-coding RNA, 27 nt
Filed under: Mus musculus (house mouse)
Lineage: Eukaryota; Metazoa; Chordata; Mammalia; Rodentia; Muridae
Source: RNAcentral
UGGCAACCAGAUUGGUGAUGGCAGCUC